This 1171-nucleotide long non-coding RNA is filed under the name Homo sapiens (human). RNAcentral describes it as "HSALNT0340987". Lineage: Eukaryota; Metazoa; Chordata; Mammalia; Primates; Hominidae. The record is from RNAcentral.
CUGAACCCUGCCCCCAAGAGACAUUGUGACAUAUCACUGGGUCCAGCUUCCAGGUAAUGUAACAGUCCUGCCUUGGCCCUGCCCACAAGGGGCAUUGUGACAUAUUGCUGAGCCCAGUACCUAGGUGAUAUGACUCUCCUGAAUUGCCCCUGCACUCAGGGGAGACUUUUGACCCUGCCCAAAGUGGCAAUUGUGACAUAUCUUUGGCCAGCACCCAGGAGAUCCAAACUUUGUUCCUGGUCUCUCUCCACAGUUGGAAUUGGGAACUACACAUGGGCACAGCUUACAGGUGGAAUGAUGACUCACACCUGAAGAUAUUUUGACCUUUGUAGUCUUAGGGCAAAAACUAAGGUCCUGUGUCUUCAACUUGUAGGAUGGUCACGGAAUAUUACAACUUGCAUGCACGUUGAAUGAAGCCCUCAAAUGCUACAAAGAGUGCCAAAAUAGAGCCCAGCUAAAACUGUGGUAAAACUGUGGCUGUUGUAUGCAAACUCAAAUAAAAGUAAGGAUUAUCAGCCUUCCACAUUAACAGAACCCACUGUUGAGGUUCUGAAUCGCUCACCAAGAGGCAAUCAAGUUGGAAUUGUGACUCUCAUGCAUCAAUCCAAUCGACAGAUGAGAUGAUAACACCAAGUCCAGGAUUUAGAACACCUGGGGGCUGUGCUUCCCCUAUCAAAACACAGUCUGUUGGUGAGAUUUGGGCUCUCGUGCAUUGAUUUAGUCCACUGUUGUGACUGACUUGCAUAGUUGAACUCAAACCCACAAGAGGUGUUGACUCUUAUACCUUUAGCAGGAAAAUGUCCCGGAUUGUGAAUUUCUGCUAUUGACCGGGUCCAGCUGGAUCCAGGUAUGAGAGUCAUCAUCUCACCUGUGAGCUGUGACCAUGUAUAUGUCGCAAUUUCACCUGUCAUCAGGAAGCAGACAUGAGAGUCCUAUCACCUGGGUGCUGGAUGAAAAAAGAUGCAAAGAAGACAUAUUUGCUUUUUAUCCACACAUCAUUUCCAAUCACUAUGCUGAGCAAAGUCAAUGUGAGCAGAGCUGAGAAUAGCAGUUUUCUGGCAGGACGGCCACUUCUGAGCAAAAAAUGACACAAUAAAAGUAUAAAUAUUUAAUAGUAAGCUAAUAUAUUUUCAGCAAAUUAAGCAUAUGCAUUAAUAAAAUUAUUGUGGUA